UUUAGGACGCCUAAUGAAUAGUCUGCAUUCGUACCUAGAGUUGUUUGGCUUAUUUCCAGACAUUUAAUUCCUUCUUUGUACCCAAUAUGCUUGUUUCCCUCUAUGGUAGGAAUUCCAUUUCUCUUAUGGAUUCCAAUACACUUCCACCUUUCGGUUUCGAAUUAUACCUCUUGAGUCACUUGUUACGAGAUACUCUAUUCUGUGACUUUGGUCACUUCACUCCAUUUAUCUCCAUGAUACAUUCAUAUCAUACCUUCUUUCACUUCAUGUGAUAUACCACAUUCUUUGAGCCAAAUACAAUAUACCUUUGUGCUCCAUCUUAUAUCUCUUUGUGAACCAAGAGCUGUUUGCGCUAUGAAACCAAACACUUAAUUCAUUCUUUUUUUGGUUAUUCCAAUAUAGUGUUAUAUGCCCUCACUUGUUGGUUCAUACCAGUUUUACUCUCAGGUUCACGCUUUCACCCCUUGUUGGAGUUCAAAUCAUAUUAUUCUUUGGUACAGACCAUACUUUGAUCACACUUCUUUCCACCUCCUGCCUAUAGUUCCUUGAACUACGAAGCUCUGAAUUCCUCAUUGCACUAUGAGGAUACGUAGGCAUGAGGUCCCCAAUCCUCACUGAGCACUUUAUCUAUUUCUUUUCCUUUUCCCAUUCUUUCGCGAGUAAUCCUUAGAUAUAACACCUAUUCGAGCGAGAACAAUCAAAACGGUUCCCAUGGAGUACCAUGGAUGUUUGUGAAGGAGAAGGGCGAUCCAAAACGCAGCGGAAAUUAAAAAUUUCUCCUUUAGUGAUCCUUACGAAUGGGCAUGAUCAAUGAUAGAAAGGUUACCUCUUGUGACGUUUGAAACCUUUGAUGCAGAUCUCUUGUGACAAUUGAAACCUUUGAUGAACGAUGACAACGUCUCUACUCAGUCCACACGAACAGAUUCCUUCAAUCUCAUUGCUAGAUGUUAUGAAUGAAGGCCUUGAGUGAGAGAGAGAGAGAGAAAGAAAAUGAAAAAUGCAACUGCAACAAAUGCUUCUGCACAAGGGUUCUAUUUAUAGAACCACUUGU
RNAcentral lists this long non-coding RNA (1051 nucleotides) under Lathyrus oleraceus (garden pea). RNAcentral's name for it is "Pisum sativum (pea) long non-coding RNA (PSAT_LNC005984)". Lineage: Eukaryota; Viridiplantae; Streptophyta; Magnoliopsida; Fabales; Fabaceae. The record is from RNAcentral.